ACUCAGUGGUUUAAAAAAAAAAAAAAAAUCUGCCUGCAAUGCAGGAGACCCAGGUUCAAUCCCUGGAUUGGGAA
This 74-nucleotide transfer RNA is filed under the name Ovis aries (sheep). The record is from Rfam by way of RNAcentral. Lineage: Eukaryota; Metazoa; Chordata; Mammalia; Artiodactyla; Bovidae.